CCUACGGGCGGCAGCAGUGGGGAAUAUUGCACAAUGGGGGAAACCCUGAUGCAGCGACGCCGCGUGAGUGAAGAAGAAUUACGGUAUGUAAAGCUCUAUCAGCAGGGAAGAAAAAGACGGUACCUGAGUAAGAAGCCACGGCGAACUACGUGCCAGCAGCCGCGGUAAUACGUAGGGGGCAAGCGUUAUCCGGAUUUACUGGGGGUAAAGGGAGCGUAGACGGCAGAACAAGUCUGGAGUGAAAUGCCGGGGCUUAACCCCGGAACGGCUUUGGAAACUGUGCAGCUAGAGUGCAGGAGCGGUAAGUGGACUUCCUAGUGUAGCGGUGCAAUGCGUAGAUAUUAGGAGGAACACCCGUGGCGAAGGCGGCUUACUGGACUGUAUCUGACGUUGAUGCUCGAAAGCGUGGGUAUCAAACAGGAUUAGAUACCCUAGUAGUC
Molecule: ribosomal RNA, 440 nt
Filed under: uncultured bacterium
Lineage: Bacteria
Description: partial 16S ribosomal RNA
Rfam family: Bacterial small subunit ribosomal RNA
Source: RNAcentral